GACGAACGCUGGCGGCGUGCCUAAUACAUGCAAGUAGAACGCACAGUUUAUACCGUAGCUUGCUACACCAUAGACUGUGAGUUGCGAACGGGUGAGUAACGCGUAGGUAACCUGCCUGGUAGCGGGGGAUAACUAUUGGAAACGAUAGCUAAUACCGCAUAAUAUUAAUUAUUGCAUGAUAAUUGAUUGAAAGGUGCAAAUGCAUCACUACCAGAUGGACCUGCGUUGUAUUAGCUAGUAGGUGAGGUAACGGCUCACCUAGGCGACGAUACAUAGCCGACCUGAGAGGGUGAUCGGCCACACUGGGACUGAGACACGGCCCAGACUCCUACGGGAGGCAGCAGUAGGGAAUUUUCGGCAAUGGACGAAAGUCUGACCGAGCAACGCCGCGUGAGUGAAGAAGGUUUUCGGAUCGUAAAGCUCUGUUGUAAGAGAAGAACGGGUGU
This 446-nucleotide ribosomal RNA is filed under the name Streptococcus gordonii. Its description in RNAcentral is "bacterial SSU rRNA". It matches the Rfam family "Bacterial small subunit ribosomal RNA", at positions 28 to 456 of the family's 1533-position model. Lineage: Bacteria; Bacillati; Bacillota; Bacilli; Lactobacillales; Streptococcaceae. The record is from RNAcentral.